RNAcentral lists this transfer RNA (76 nucleotides) under Mesonia sp. K7. RNAcentral describes it as "tRNA-Gly". It matches the Rfam family "tRNA". From Rfam's summary of the family: Transfer RNA (tRNA) molecules are approximately 80 nucleotides in length. Their secondary structure includes four short double-helical elements and three loops (D, anti-codon, and T loops). Lineage: Bacteria; Pseudomonadati; Bacteroidota; Flavobacteriia; Flavobacteriales; Flavobacteriaceae. The record is from RNAcentral.
GCGAAAAUAGCUCAGCUGGUAGAGCGCCACCUUGCCAAGGUGGAGGUCGCGGGUUCGAACCCCGUUUUUCGCUCUA